This 3259-nucleotide long non-coding RNA is filed under the name Gallus gallus (chicken). RNAcentral describes it as "long non-coding RNA NONGGAT009295". The record is from RNAcentral. Lineage: Eukaryota; Metazoa; Chordata; Aves; Galliformes; Phasianidae.
GGUUUGGCGAACCCACGGCGUACGUUCCCAAGGGCGCCCAGGCCUCGCACCGGUGACAGCGGCGUCGCAUCGUCUCCCAUCGCCGGCGUCUUCUCAUCGUGUUCUUUGGACACAGCAUCAGGGAGCAGUUCUGUCCUCGUUCCAUUCCCUUCUAACUCAGAGGAACUUUCUGUCCUCCCCUCCUUUUUCUCUACACACUCUUCGCGUAAACCACAUUUCCUGCUCUCAUCCUUUUCUCCCAAUACCUUUCCCCGUCUCUCAGUCAUCCCCUUCACCUCUAGCAGUAAGUGUCCUUUCUCAGUUCUCGUUCCUAGCGAUGUCCUAAGGCUGCCCGCUCUCCCUCUGGGUUUCCUCGAGGGCUGAGCAGCAGAGCACAGCCCCAGCGCUCCGCAGCCAUCCACAUAUCAGCCUUCACCAGAGGUAACAGCAAAGUCCCCGUGGGCACUCAGAGUGGCACAGCCUCAGGGCCUGACCUCAGAUGUCAUUGUGCUCAUCACACCGCAGAGCAAUGCCACGGGGUGGCUUUAGAAGCCUCCUACCUCCAUUUUGUUUGAGUGGUAACGCUGCACUAAGCAGACAAGAGCAGACAAGCAGGAACGUGUUCUAAGAGUUUCUAACUUUAGGACCAUGAAUCAGGAUCUGCUGUACUCGCUGCACAGAAUGGAUGCAAUUCCCAAGGCCCACACAGCAAACCUGAAAGCUGUCUUAGGCACGUUCCUCUCAAGUUGUACGUCUGUUGCUCUUGGAGCACACUGACCAACUCAGGAGAGCACAAGUGGCAAGCAGCAGCUUGGUGCAGUGAAUCCCGAGCGCAGCUCCCUCUCAUAGCUAUGCUCAUGUUAGCGCCUAUUGAAAGGUGAGCAGUAUUGUAUUGAGCAGUCUCACUUCGCCUCCCUUCCAGGUGUGCCUUCCUGUCUCCUUUGUACAGCAUUCCUGAUUUUGGAGGGUGAACUUUCUGCAAGUUAGCUUUCUGGGUCACUGCUGGGCAAGGCAAGAGCCAGGGCUGGCUUCGGGAAAGCUGAAGGAACUCCCAGCCUGGAAGAAGAAGGAGGACAAGGUCAGCGGCAGCAUUAGGCCACUUUGUGUUCUCCCUCUCCCUUAAAAAGUAUUCAGACUUCAACCAACGAUGCUUUAUGUGCUGCUGUCUUCAGGUCAGAGUCUGAGCUCUGUGAAUGGUAUGAUUUUACCUGCCACAGUGGUAGGUAGAAACGCUCGUUGCUGUGACUCGGCGGUCGUGUCACACUAUAAGCAGUAACACGUAGGUAAAGAAUACGAAAAUAUCUCAGGCUAAGAAAGGUUUUCUGUAUUGCAUCUGGCGUCCCCAUUGCUGUUUGGUGUGAGAAUUGGCAUUACGAAUUGCUACUGUCUGUCCUGCUCAACAAAGACAUACGUUGCAAGCCUGCUCCACGCUGGAGGGCACAAGUUACCCACUGCACUUUCUUCAACAAAAAACCCCACUCUGCAGGAAACAAAAUGAGGCCGCGGUGCAGAGAUGAGAAGAAAGGCAGCCUGCAACAACGGACACAGCGCUCAGAGAGAUUUUUGCCUCGGCGAGACAUUCUGCAAACAUGCUAAGGCUACAAAAUGCCCAAGUUGACAAAGACAUGCAACGCUGACCAUUCAAUAAGUCACGGCUAUUAGAGGAGCGACCAUGCCCACCUGGGCCGCAGGUCCCAUAGGACAGGGAUGGCGUACAGCGAUCAUGGCAACGCACUACACAGGACCUAGUAACCUGAGGUAGGUCUCUUCACAGUAAGAAAACAACAUCCUACACCAGUGUUACAUCCUGAUCUGCAGGAACCCGUUUAAAGUUCCAGGAGACGUGGAGUGGGGGACUGUUUCCUUAACAAGUGUGCAAUAAAGAAACAGGAAAUAUUGGUGUUGUUUAACCUUAGUAUACGUGAGCGGGACAAAGAGUUAGUGUUACUCGUGCCAGUGAAAGCCAACCUAAACCUCUGAGGAGUGUUAGCAGCUUCAAGAUAAAGGAGUCAGUCAGCUGGAGCAACUUGGAAAAGGCUUUCCUGCCAGCAUACAGGGUAAUGGUUUGAACCUUACGAUUAAUUUGUUACACGUCAUUCCAUAAACAGUUACAUUCUGGUUGUGUUAGAUCAGCGAAGCAGAAAGAGCAUAAACCCUGCUGAUACAGUCAGAAAUACUGCACCAGGACACUGAGAAAAUAGGAGGCUUUAACGUGACCCAGAAGUGGUUCUCCACUCAGGAGAUCACUAAAAACCCUGCUUUGGGAAAGCAUUAUGGCAAGCAGCAGCCGCUGCCGUGGUGAACAUUAGCGAUGCUCCAAAUAGCUUUGAUAAAUUACAAUGCAAUAGAGUUACACCACAGUGCUCUUCUCCCCUGUGCUAGACAACAAUGAUGUGACAAUAAAGGACACUAUUGCAAAGCUUCACUUCCACUCAGACACGCAGAAAAUCUGGCACUAGGAAAAGACAACUGUAAGAGACAAAAUGGUGUCUGAUACAGCCCGAUAACAAAGCCAGAUCUCCGGUACCAUAAACUGUACAAAAAUGAUAGAAAAGAAUAUGCACUGUUAUUAAUACAGUGCUUAUUUUAAUAUAAAAUAAACAGCUUACAUUUCCACUGUAAAUAUAGGCUAUAUACAGAAUUAUGUAUAGAUAUAGCUACAUGUAUAAAGCUUCAUUAUAGGCCUCUGAUACAUUUAUAACUAUGGCUCCCUGAGCCAUUCGUAGAGUGCAUUUAAUAACAAAAAAAAAUUAGUAAUAUGAUUAUGGAAUAAAUACAAUAAUAAAAACAAGAAGAAUUCUUCUGACAUGGUUUUAAAAACUCUCUGGCUUGACGUACUGUGCUAAAAAAUAAAGGAUGAAAAGGCAAUAAUCUGCUUGGAGGAGGAGGGAGAGCUGACCUGCCACAGGCAGGGAGUGCAGCUCUCCAAAAUUAAAGUGACUUUGCCCUGAAUUUUAGCCCUUGACAGCGACCUUGUUCUCUGCAGCAGCAAACAUAGCAUAGAAGCGCGAGUUCUCAUUGGCCAGAAGGGCAGACGGCGUGUCGAAUUCCACUACCUAAAAACAAACAAGGCAGGUAAAGCACGUUAGGAGAAGCCAGCAGAAGAAGGAUUCCCAUUCACACCCCCUUGGACUUGUCACGUGGCAGUACAGAAGCCAAAACUUGGCAGUCCUUAAAUGAGACAACAGACAGCGAAAGCAUCUGCCUUUAUGCACACAUGCUAUACACAGGGAUGCUUUGAACAACAUUACACAGAUGCUGGGAGAACCCAGCAGGCAGC